RNAcentral lists this ribosomal RNA (257 nucleotides) under uncultured bacterium. Its description in RNAcentral is "partial 16S ribosomal RNA". It matches the Rfam family "Bacterial small subunit ribosomal RNA", at positions 524 to 776 of the family's 1533-position model. The record is from RNAcentral.
UACAGAGACCUCAAGCGUUAUCCGGAAUCAUUGGGCGUAAAGCGUACCGAUAGGUGGUUAUACAAGUCAGAAGUGAAAUUCCAAAGCUUAACUUUGGGUCUGUCUUUUGAAACUGUAUAACUAGAAGGGCAAAGAGGAAGCUGGAACAAACGGUGUAGUAGUGAAAUGCGUUGAUAUCGUUUGGAACACCAAUAGCGUAGGCAGGCUUCUGGGUGCCACUUGACACUGCUAGGACGAAAGCGUGGGGAGCGAAUGGG